Homo sapiens (human) is the source of this 698-nucleotide long non-coding RNA. RefSeq lists it as uncharacterized. NCBI's taxonomy places the organism in Eukaryota, Metazoa, Chordata, Mammalia, Primates, Hominidae. The transcript is spliced from 2 exons. The record is from RefSeq and is a predicted model, not a curated record.
CACAAUCUUGGAAUACCAGGUAGAAUCUGUGCACACACAAACAUCAUUCAUCAUCUGCUGUUGGUGGAUGGGGAGAGUCAGACAUCCUCCUCUGGGUAAAUCCAGAGGCAUUGCUUCAGAAGGAAUUCUCAAGAUUGAGUCUCACUCUGUUGCCCAGGCUGGAGCACAGUGGCGUGAUCUUGGCUCACUGCAACCUCCAGGGUUCAAGGGAACCUGUAAAGGAAACCAGUAGCUUAUCUGUACCAGUGGCAUAUCUGUAUAAUCUCUUAGAAAAUCAAGGGUUCAAAAUCAAACACCUUGCUAGUUUGCGAUUCAGUGAUUCAAGAAUGAAUUCUGCAGUUGGAGGACUCUCUAGGCCCUUCAGUGUUCCACUUACUUUUUCUGCUCUUAUUCCCUCUCUUCUUCUACACGCCAGCGUCCUCUUCUGCACUGGAUGGUAUCAUGAUUUUCAGGAAGGAGAGUCAAAAAGGGAAACAAGUCAGCUCAAGCAAAAACAUCCUGGCACACGGGAGGACGAAGUAAAUAAUGAUAGUAUGUGGGACACCAUUAGUCAUUGUCAUUCUGCAUGCUCCAGCACCAAUAAAACCAUCUUAACCAAACACCCUUGGAUAAUUGGUUCCCAUGACUAAUACAUAGCCACUGAUCCAGAGCCUAAGGAGUGUGAAUGACAAACAAUAAACCUGCUUGGGAUAACGUGA